AANCNAUGCAUGUCUAAGUAUAAGCAAUCUAUACGGUGAAACUGCGAAUGGCUCAUUAAAUCAGUUAUCGUUUAUUUGAUAGUACCUUACUACAUGGAUACCUGUGGUAAUUCUAGAGCUAAUACAUGCUAAAAACCUCGACUUCGGAAGGGGUGUAUUUAUUAGAUAAAAAACCAAUGCCCUUCGGGGCUCCUUGGUGAAUCAUAAUAACUUAACGAAUCGCAUGGCCUUGCGCCGGCGAUGGUUCAUUCAAAUUUCUGCCCUAUCAACUUUCGAUGGUAGGAUAGUGGCCUACCAUGGUGGCAACGGGUAACGGGGAAUUAGGGUUCGAUUCCGGAGAGGGAGCCUGAGAAACGGCUACCACAUCCAAGGAAGGCAGCAGGCGCGCAAAUUACCCAAUCCCGAUACGGGGAGGUAGUGACAAUAAAUACUGAUACGGGGCUCUUUUGGGUCUCGUAAUUGGAAUGAGUACAAUUUAAAUACCUUAACGAGGAACAAUUGGAGGGCAAGUCUGGUGCCAGCAGCCGCGGUAAUUCCAGCUCCAAUAGCGUAUAUUAAAGUUGUUGCAGUUAAAAAGCUCGUAGUUGAACCUUGGGUCUGGCUGGCCGGUCCGCCUCACCGCGAGUACUGGUCCGGCUGGACCUUUCCUUCUGGGGAACCUCAUGGCCUUCACUGGCUGUGGGGGGAACCAGGACUUUUACUGUGAAAAAAUUAGAGUGUUCAAAGCAGGCCUUUGCUCGAAUACAUUAGCAUGGAAUAAUAGAAUAGGACGUGCGGUUCUAUUUUGUUGGUUUCUAGGACCGCCGUAAUGAUUAAUAGGGAUAGUCGGGGGCGUCAGUAUUCAGCUGUCAGAGGUGAAAUUCUUGGAUUUGCUGAAGACUAACUACUGCGAAAGCAUUCGCCAAGGAUGUUUUCAUUAAUCAGGGAACGAAAGUUAGGGGAUCGAAGACGAUCAGAUACCGUCGUAGUCUUAACCAUAAACUAUGCCGACUAGGGAUCGGGCGGUGUUUCUAUGAUGACCCGCUCGGCACCUUACGAGAAAUCAAAGUUUUUGGGUUCUGGGGGGAGUNUNGNCGCA
RNAcentral lists this ribosomal RNA (1078 nucleotides) under Aspergillus clavatus. RNAcentral's name for it is "SSU rRNA". It matches the Rfam family "Eukaryotic small subunit ribosomal RNA", at positions 46 to 1133 of the family's 1831-position model. Lineage: Eukaryota; Fungi; Ascomycota; Eurotiomycetes; Eurotiales; Aspergillaceae. The record is from RNAcentral.